Molecule: ribosomal RNA, 492 nt
Filed under: uncultured bacterium
Lineage: Bacteria
Description: partial 16S ribosomal RNA
Rfam family: Bacterial small subunit ribosomal RNA
Source: RNAcentral
AGUGAACGCUGGCGGUAGGCCUAACACAUGCAAGUCGAACGGCAGCACAGUAGGAGCUUGCUCUUACGGGUGGCGAGUGGCGGACGGGUGAGGAAUACAUCGGAAUCUACUUUUUCGUGGGGGAUAACGUAGGGAAACUUACGCUAAUACCGCAUACGACCUACGGGUGAAAGCAGGGGAUCGUCGGACCUUGCGCGAUUGAAUGAGCCGAUGUCGGAUUAGCUAGUUGGCGGGGUAAAGGCCCACCAAGGCGACGAUCCGUAGCUGGUCUGAGAGGAUGAUCACCCACACUGGAACUGAGACACGGUCCAGACUCCUACGAGAGGCAGCAGUGGGGAAUAUUGGACAAUGGGCGCAAGCCUGAUCCAGCCAUACCGCGUGGGUGAAGAAGGCCUUCGGGUUGUAAAGCCCUUUUGUUGGGAAAGAAAAGCAGCAGGUUAAUACCCCGCUGUUCUGACGGUACCCAAAGAAUAAGCACCGGCUAACUUCGUG